Long non-coding RNA from Pleuronectes platessa (European plaice), 845 nucleotides. RefSeq lists it as uncharacterized. The transcript has 5 exons. NCBI's taxonomy places the organism in Eukaryota, Metazoa, Chordata, Actinopteri, Pleuronectiformes, Pleuronectidae. The record is from RefSeq and is a predicted model, not a curated record.
UCCCUGAAUAUCUGCAGGGUCACAUUAAACCUGACGUUUCCCAUGGAAGUAUUUACAGAGCAACAUUAAAUUACUCCUUUAAAACGCUGUGUUUAUUCUUAAGUCGUCACAAAGCUCCAAAGGAAUCCAGGCGCUGAUGCUCCGUCAUUAUUGCUGUUGUGAUUUAUAAUUUUUUUUCCCAGAGACGUAUAGAAAACGAAUUCAGAUUGGAAAAAAACCAGAAGAGGAACAGGAAAUGGAAGAGCUGCUAAAGAUGUUUUAUUCCCAGCGGACGCGUCCACCCCCGUCUCCUCCUCGGAUCAGUCGCUGGUAACUCAGCUGCAUGUGAGAGAAUGAACGACUGCUCAUGAGAAUCCGUACGACAGAAACCUCAACACGGGGGAACUCUGAGAGAUGAAGAAUUCAAAUCUUCUCUCCAGGCUCGAUUCUGUGGUCAAGAAAAUGGAAUCCUCUUCGUUAGACAGUGGAUUCACUUCAAGCUUCAGCGCGGUGACUUGAUGUGCAACGUCCGAUAUAGAAGUUCAACUACAGGAGUGGACACCUGGAGAAACAGCUCAAAUCAACCUUUUCCAGGGAAAUGACUCUCGGGAGCAGGAAUAUGGCCACAUCUGUACAGACACAAUGUAAACAACACCCAAAACUAAAUCUGAAACCUAAGCAAGGCCGUGUUCUCUUCAUCACUUCAGGUGCACUUGAAAAUUCCUAGAAUGUGUAAUAAGGCAGAUUCGUCUGGAACCAUCAGCACUGGGACUUUCUUACUGGGAAGCUGUGGUCUCACGCAGCUGAAAUCACUUUGCUCAAAUUUCAGGUUUGUUUUAAGAUAAAAACAAAACAACAACAAUCUG